RNAcentral lists this ribosomal RNA (406 nucleotides) under uncultured bacterium. Its description in RNAcentral is "partial 16S ribosomal RNA". It matches the Rfam family "Bacterial small subunit ribosomal RNA", at positions 30 to 526 of the family's 1533-position model. The record is from RNAcentral.
AUUGAACGCUGGCGGCAGGCCUAACACAUGCAAGUCGAACGAGUGGCGGACGGGUGAGUAAUAUCUGGGAAACUGCCUGAUGGCGGGGGAUAACUACUGGAAACAGUAGCUAAUACCGCAUACAAUCAGAUGUGCCCAGAUGGGAUUAGCUAGUUGGUGGGGUAACGGCUCACCAAGGCGACGAUCCCUAGCUGGUCUGAGAGGAUGACCAGCCACACUGGGACUGAGACACGGCCCAGACUCCUACGGGAGGCAGCAGUGGGGAAUAUUGCACAAUGGGGGAAAGCCUGAUACAGCCAUCCCGCGUGUAUGAAGAAGGCCUUCGGGUUGUAAAGUACUUUCAGCGGCGAAGCGUUAACUGCAGAAUAAGCACCGGCUAACUACGUGCCAGCAGCCGCGGUAAUAC